This is a long non-coding RNA of Etheostoma spectabile (orangethroat darter), 1274 nucleotides long. RefSeq lists it as uncharacterized. The transcript has 2 exons. The record is from RefSeq and is a predicted model, not a curated record. Lineage: Eukaryota; Metazoa; Chordata; Actinopteri; Perciformes; Percidae.
AGCGAGUGAGCCACUAACGUGGUUCGGGGAAUGGGAGCUUGGCUGCUCAGCAGCUCUGUAAACCCUGUUUGUUCCGCUCUGGAAGGCUUGUGUGGUUUCAGUCUCUGUCGACCCUGCUCCCACAUCGCUGUGGGGACAGCUGGGUAGCGAUGGUCGGCAGGCACCCUGCGACGCAGAAGCCCCGGUGAUGCCUGGCUGCGUGAGCACAGCUGGCACUGCAACAUCUGGGUCCUGUGCUGUGGCCUGGGCCCGGCGGGCUAGCGACUCAGAAGCAGCGCUGGAGAACAGGUUGGAAACAUUAGAGACGUUCUCCAAGCCAACACCAAAGGUGCUAACCAGCUUCUUGACAAAGUUCAGUGUGUGCGGUGUGAUCUUGGCGUCGGACACGGCACCACUCUUUUCAAAGGCCACCGAGUAGCAUUUCGCCAGGCCCUGUUGCAGCUGUCUCAAGACCUGCAGAAAGAAGAGGAAGGAAGAGACAUAGUCAGAAAACAUUAUACAUGUGAUAAUACUAAUAAAAGAUGCACCAACAUUUUUCUCCAAUCCAAAUCAUUUAAUUUUUAAGUAUCGGUUGAGUCAGAUGUCUGCAACAAAUGGACGUACUCUAUAACUUAAAGUCCUCAAUGAACACAGGAGAAGGAGCAGAGACCAACACAUUUCUUAAGGAACAAAGGGUGCAGCGAUGCAAUGUCAUACAUUAACCAAAGAACGGGAGAGAGGGAAGAUGAUGAUGGCAUAGCAUGCCUCUGCCUCUGUGUGCCCAGUGGAACAAAGCAUAGAGCCUACAGCUGCUGCUGAGUGCCCCAAAGUAUCACAGGUAAUCAAACAGACAGACACACACAGACACACACACCAACAAACGUCUGGCCGUACAUCCCUUUGCCCAUCCUGCACGCUCACUGCACCCAUCCAUCACCUGUCUCAGACUUUUCUCCUGCUGCCUCUUUCUCCCAGUGUUCCCCUCCGCCCACAGACCGGCAACAUUCCGUGGAUUCUGCCUCGCAUGGCUAAUACAUUUUUUUAGCAAUUGCAAUCAUGUCAGGAUUACCUUCUGCACUGACCUCCGCACAUUUAACAGGGGGGAAAACUACUGACUGAAUGGGUGAUGCAAGUCAACAAAAAGAAAAUAAAAAAAUAAAUAAAGGAUUUGGGGCUCCCUGGUAGAGUUUGCACCCGUGUAACAAGGAUCAGCUUAGUCCCACGGCCCUUCGCUGCAUGUCGUCCCCCUCUGUCUUCCCCCUUUCCCGUUUACAGCGGUCCUAUCGAUUAAAAAG